Molecule: ribosomal RNA, 253 nt
Filed under: uncultured bacterium
Lineage: Bacteria
Description: partial 16S ribosomal RNA
Rfam family: Bacterial small subunit ribosomal RNA
Source: RNAcentral
UACGAGAGGCCCAAACGUUAUUCGGAUUUACUGGGCUUAAAGAGUUUGUAGGCGGUUCGGUAAGUGAGAUGUGAAAGCCCUCGGCUCAACCGAGGAAUUGCGUUUCAAACUGCCGGGCUCGAGGGAGAUAGAGGUGAGCGGAACUGAUGGUGGAGCGGUGAAAUGCGUUGAUAUCAUCAGGAACACCAGAGGCGAAGGCGGCUCACUGGGUCUCUUCUGACGCUGAGGCGCGAAAGCCAGGGGAGCGAACGGG